CCUACGGGAGGCAGCAGUGGGGAAUAUUGCACAAUGGGGGAAACCCUGAUGCAGAGACGCCGCGUGGGUGCCCAAGUAUUUCGGUAUGUAAAGCCCUAUCAGCAGGGAAGAAGCUAACAUUACCUGACUAAGAAGCCCCGGCUAAAUACGUUCCAGCAGCCGCGGUGAUACGUAGGGGGCAAGAGUUAUCCGGAUUUACUGGGGGUAAAGGGAGCGGAGGUGGCAUGGCAAGCCAGAAGUGAAAACCCGGGGCUGAACCCCGCGGAUUGAUUUUGGAACUGGAAGGCUGGAGUGCAGGAGGGGCAGUCGGAAUUCCUGGUGUAGCGGUGAAAUGCGUAGAUAUCAGGAGGAACACCGGUGGCGAAGGCGGCCUGCUGGACUGUAACUGACACUGAGGCGCGAAAGCGUGGGGAGCAAACAGGAUUAGAUACCCCUGUAGUC
Molecule: ribosomal RNA, 441 nt
Filed under: uncultured bacterium
Lineage: Bacteria
Description: partial 16S ribosomal RNA
Rfam family: Bacterial small subunit ribosomal RNA
Source: RNAcentral